AGGACUAUACUUUCAGGGAUCAUUCUAUAGUUCGUUACUAGAGAAGUUUCUCUGAUCGUGUAGAGCACCAAAAGGACGUUUAUUUCUCUAAUUC
This 94-nucleotide small nucleolar RNA is filed under the name Tupaia belangeri (northern tree shrew). RNAcentral describes it as "Small nucleolar RNA U3 (ENSTBEG00000021199.1)". It matches the Rfam family "Small nucleolar RNA U3", at positions 1 to 104 of the family's 219-position model. From Rfam's summary of the family: Small nucleolar RNAs (snoRNAs) are involved in the processing and modification of rRNA in the nucleolus. The record is from RNAcentral. Lineage: Eukaryota; Metazoa; Chordata; Mammalia; Scandentia; Tupaiidae.